This 911-nucleotide ribosomal RNA is filed under the name uncultured archaeon. RNAcentral's name for it is "bacterial SSU rRNA". It matches the Rfam family "Archaeal small subunit ribosomal RNA", at positions 1 to 918 of the family's 1478-position model. The record is from RNAcentral.
UUCCGGUUGAUCCUGCCGGACCUGACUGCUAUCGGAUUGAUACUAAGCCAUGCGAGUCAUUGUAGCAAUACAAGGCAUACGGCUCAGUAACGCGUAGUCAACCUAACCUAUGGACGAGAAUAACCUCGGGAAACUGAGAAUAAUGCUCGAUAGAACACUAUAUCUGGAAUGGUUUGUGUUCCAAAUAAUUUAUCGCCGUAGGAUGGGACUGCGGCCUAUCAGUUUGUUGGUGAGGUAAUGGCCCACCAAGACUAUUACAGGUACGGGCUCUGAGAGGAGUAGCCCGGAGAUGGGUACUGAGACACGGACCCAGGCCCUAUGGGGCGCAGCAGGCGAGAAAACUUUGCAAUGUGCGAAAGCACGACAAGGUUAAUCCGAGUGAUUUGUGCUAAACGAAUCUUUUGUUAGUCCUAGAAACACUAACGAAUAAGGGGUGGGCAAGUUCUGGUGUCAGCCGCCGCGGUAAAACCAGCACCUCAAGUGGUCAGGAUGAUUAUUGGGCCUAAAGCAUCCGUAGCCGGCUCUGUAAGUUUUCGGUUAAAUCUGUACGCUUAACGUACAGGCUGCCGGGAAUACUGCAGAGCUAGGGAGUGGGAGAGGUAGACGGUACUCGGUAGGAAGGGGUAAAAUCCUUUGAUCUAUUGAUGACCACCUGUGGCGAAGGCGGUCUACCAGAACACGUCCGACGGUGAGGGAUGAAAGCUGGGGGAGCAAACCGGAUUAGAUACCCGGGUAGUCCCAGCUGUAAACUAUGCAAACUCAGUGAUGCAUUGACUUGUGGUCAAUGCAGUGCUGCAGGGAAGCCGUUAAGUUUGCCGCCUGGGGAAGUACGUACGCAAGUAUGAAACUUAAAGGAAUUGGCGGGGGAGCACCACAAGGGGUGAAGCCUGCGGUUCAAUUGGAGUCAACGC